Molecule: ribosomal RNA, 515 nt
Filed under: uncultured bacterium
Lineage: Bacteria
Description: bacterial SSU rRNA
Rfam family: Bacterial small subunit ribosomal RNA
Source: RNAcentral
GAGUUUGAUCCUGGCUCAGAUUGAACGCUGGCGGCAGGCCUAACACAUGCAAGUCGAGCGGUAGAGAGAAGCUUGCUUCUCUUGAGAGCGGCGGACGGGUGAGUAAUGCCUAGGAAUCUGCCUGGUAGUGGGGGAUAACGCUCGGAAACGGACGCUAAUACCGCAUACGUCCUACGGGAGAAAGCAGGGGACCUUCGGGCCUUGCGCUAUCAGAUGAGCCUAGGUCGGAUUAGCUAGUUGGUGAGGUAAUGGCUCACCAAGGCGACGAUCCGUAACUGGUCUGAGAGGAUGAUCAGUCACACUGGAACUGAGACACGGUCCAGACUCCUACGGGAGGCAGCAGUGGGGAAUAUUGGACAAUGGGCGAAAGCCUGAUCCAGCCAUGCCGCGUGUGUGAAGAAGGUCUUCGGAUUGUAAAGCACUUUAAGUUGGGAGGAAGGGCAGUAAAUUAAUACUUUGCUGUUUUGACGUUUACCGACUAGAAUAAGCACCGGCUAACUCUGUGCCAGCCGCCG